Molecule: ribosomal RNA, 472 nt
Filed under: uncultured bacterium
Lineage: Bacteria
Description: partial 16S ribosomal RNA
Rfam family: Bacterial small subunit ribosomal RNA
Source: RNAcentral
GACGAACGCUGGCGGCGUGCUUAACACAUGCAAGUCGAACGCUGAAGCUUGGUGCUUGCACUGGGUGGAUGAGUGGCGAACGGGUGAGUAAUACGUGAGUAACCUGCCCUUGACUCUGGGAUAAGCCUGGGAAACUGGGUCUAAUACUGGAUACGACAUGUCACCGCAUGGUGGUGUGUGGAAAGGGUUUUACUGGUUUUGGAUGGGCUCACGGCCUAUCAGCUUGUUGGUGGGGUAAUGGCUCACCAAGGCGACGACGGGUAGCCGGCCUGAGAGGGUGACCGGCCACACUGGGACUGAGACACGGCCCAGACUCCUACGGGAGGCAGCAGUGGGGAAUAUUGCACAAUGGGCGGAAGCCUGAUGCAGCGACGCCGCGUGAGGGAUGACGGCCUACGGGUUGUAAACCUCUUUCAGCACGGAAGAAGCGAAAGUGACGGUACGUGCAGAAGAAGCGCCGGCUAACUACGUG